CUCGUGCUGCUUGGGCAUCUCGCUGGGGUCCUGUGAGCCAGAGGAGAAAGACAGACGUUAGUCUUACUGAGUAAUAUUCCUUAUUACCUCUCUAUAAGACUUCUGAAAGACUUGGUACCACAAAUCCUACUCUGACGCACCUAUGUGACCCUGAACACUAGAAGGCUACACCAGUGGAUUGUAUGCUCUGGCAGAUUCUACAAGAUGUCAGGAAUGAUCAUAGAGAGACAGUGAGAGACUGAUGCCUUUUUUUGGAGGGGUGGAAAUGGCUUAUUUCUACAACAUUCUCCAGAAAUAAGCUAUCCUACGACGUGGUUUCUCAAAUAAAAUUGAAUAAUGGAGUGGAGGAAUUCCACAGGGAUUGGAACAACCUCCAGGAAGUGAUAUAGAGUGAAAGGAGCAGAACCAGGAAAACAUUGUACACAGAGACUAAUACACUGUGGUACAAUCGAACGUAAUGGACUUCUCCAUUAAUGGCAAUGCAGUGAUCCUGAAUAACCCAGAGGAUUACAGGAGAAAAAACACUAUGCACAUCCAGAGGAAAAACUGUGGGAGUAAAAACACUAAAGAAAAAUGACUGCUUAAUGACAUGGGUCGAUGGGGAUAUGGUUGAGGACGUAGACUGUAAAUGAACAUCCUAGUGUAAACACCAACAACAUGGAAAUGGGUUCUGAUCAAGGACACAUGCGAUACCCAGUGGAACUGUGCAUCAGCUAUGGGAGGGGUUGGGGGAGGGGAGGGAGGAAUAGAAAAUGAUUUUUGUAACCAAGGAAUAAUGUUUGAAAUUGACCAAAUAAAAAAAAUUAAAAAAAAGAAUAACCCUUUCUGACUCUUCCCUCCAUGUUCAAAUUCUUUUCCCUUGAAUUCCUUAAUAUUUACUUUGUGUGUAUAUUUUAUGUUAACAUAUAAAUUUUUUUUGUUGUUGUUCUAUUGUUUCUGAUUCUUCAAGA
Monodelphis domestica (gray short-tailed opossum) is the source of this 950-nucleotide long non-coding RNA. RefSeq lists it as uncharacterized. The record is from RefSeq and is a predicted model, not a curated record. Lineage: Eukaryota; Metazoa; Chordata; Mammalia; Didelphimorphia; Didelphidae.